Leucoraja erinaceus (little skate) is the source of this 229-nucleotide long non-coding RNA. RefSeq lists it as uncharacterized. The record is from RefSeq and is a predicted model, not a curated record. The transcript has 4 exons. NCBI's taxonomy places the organism in Eukaryota, Metazoa, Chordata, Chondrichthyes, Rajiformes, Rajidae.
CAGGUGACCUCUUCUGGAGUCGGCCCGCCAAGUGGUGAGGCUGUGGGCCAGGUGCUCGGGGUGGCCCUGGGCCUGGGUCUGCUGCUGACCCUCCUCCUGAUCGGAGUCCUUGCUGCCAGUGUCUACAUGGUGCACAGGAAAAGGCAACAGAGUAAACAAAGUAGUGAGGAUGGCGAGUCUGUGAUGCAGAGCGGGCAGGCUCCAGUUUAUGAAAACACAAACCAGCUGG